CCCUCCAGCCUGGGCGACAGAGUGAGACUGUGUCUCAAAAAUAGAUAAAUAAAUAAAUAAAUAAAUAAAUUUAAAAAAUAAUAGAUAAAAAGGCUGAUUUAAGGGCCCCAUCCCAGGCCCAGUGAAUCCAAAUGUCCAGGAGAGAUUGUUGUGUUUCUUGUUGUCGUUGUUUUGUUUUUGUUUUUGUUUUUUUGAGACAGGGUCUUGUUCUGUUGCCCAGGCUGGAUGAAGUGGCUCGAAUAUGGCUUUCUGCAGCCUGGACCUCCUGGGCUUAAGCGAUCCUCUCGUCUCAGCCUCCCAAAGUGCUAGGAUUAGAGCCAUGAACCACGGCGCCCAGGCUACUCUGCAUCCUGACCAAACCUUAACAUGGAAUCUGUGUUAUUUUUGUGGCUGACACCACCAGUGCCAUUUGUUGGUUCCCUCUUUGCCAGAUAAAGCUCAGACAGUGCCCUCUGUUGGAAACCUCAACCACAAAUCCCCGUCCUCGACUCCAUGGCGAGAAGGACCUAGAAGGAAACAAACACCUCCCAGGAGCCUUUCACACACAUUGUUCUCAUUUUAUCCUUGCAGUUGCUUGGUGAGGUUACUGUGUCCAACCUGGGCAAACUGAGGCAGCUGCCCCAAUCACAGCCAGAGCGGAGCUGAGAUCGGAACUCAAGGCGGCUGCCUUCAAAGCUUGUGCUUCACUCCCUCUACCUAGCUGUAGCUGUAGGAUGAUUUGACAAGGGACUUGAAGAUACAAUCUCAAGGACAGAGCAGUAUCCACCUGCAACAGUUGGACAAUUUAAAAAACCAGUACUUUAGCACUCUGAGAGGCACGGGGCUGCCGGAGAGAGAAGAGUUGUCUAAACUGAGGAAGGUAGCCAGGCGCGGUGGCUCACGCCUGGGAUCCCAGCACUUUGGGAGGCCAAGAGGGCAGAUCGCUUGAGCCCAGGAGUUCGAGACCAGCCUGGACAAUAUAGCAAAACCCCAUCUCUAUUUAAGUUUAAAUAAAGAAGAAUUUAAAGAAAAAAUAAGGUGUGGCAGGUCCUCCAUGUUUGGUGUAUGAAUGAAUACAUCACUGAAGGAAUGACGUAUGAGUGUGAGAGAAUCAGCCACAUGAAGAAAAAUGCCCAGAAUCCAGGUUUCUCAUUUAGAGCCAUUCAAAGGGUGAGAGCUUAGGAUGUCAAGUUCAUCACCAGACUUGAUAUGCACAUCACUAAACCUGCACCCUUCUGAUUUUAAAGAUGGAGGUGGGAGACCUUUCUCCCCCAAGUCAUAGAACUGAUCAACAAAGAAAAAAAAAUACCAAAAAGAGCCACAUAUAAAUAACAAGCAAUAUUUACUGCUCGUGAUU
This 1336-nucleotide long non-coding RNA is filed under the name Homo sapiens (human). RNAcentral describes it as "HSALNT0268690". Lineage: Eukaryota; Metazoa; Chordata; Mammalia; Primates; Hominidae. The record is from RNAcentral.